GCCUGGGUGGCUCAAUGGUAGAGCAUCUGCCUUUGGCUCAGGGCAUGGUCCCACGGUCCAGGGGUCGAGUCCCAUAUCAGGCU
RNAcentral lists this transfer RNA (83 nucleotides) under Canis lupus familiaris (dog). It matches the Rfam family "tRNA". Rfam says of the family: Transfer RNA (tRNA) molecules are approximately 80 nucleotides in length. Their secondary structure includes four short double-helical elements and three loops (D, anti-codon, and T loops). RNAcentral also lists the same sequence under 1 other name. Lineage: Eukaryota; Metazoa; Chordata; Mammalia; Carnivora; Canidae. The record is from Rfam by way of RNAcentral.